AGAGUUUGAUCCUGGCUCAGAUUGAACGCUGGCGGAAUGCUUUACACAUGCAAGUCGAACGGCAGCACGGGAGCUUGCUCCUGGUGGCGAGUGGCGAACGGGUGAGUAACAUAUCGGAACAUAUCCUAUCGUGGGGGAUAACUAGUCGAAAGACUAGCUAAUACCGCAUACGUCCUGAGGGAGAAAGCGGGGGCUCGCAAGACCUCGCGCGAUUGGAGUGGCCGAUAUCUGAUUAGCUAGAUGGUGAGGUAAAAGCUCACCAUGGCGACGAUCAGUAGCUGGUCUGAGAGGAUGAUCAGCCACACUGGGACUGAGACACGGCCCAGACUCCUACGGGAGGCAGCAGUGGGGAAUUUUGGACAAUGGGCGAAAGCCUGAUCCAGCCAUUCCGCGUGAGUGAAGAAGGCCUUCGGGUUG
This 417-nucleotide ribosomal RNA is filed under the name uncultured bacterium. RNAcentral's name for it is "bacterial SSU rRNA". It matches the Rfam family "Bacterial small subunit ribosomal RNA", at positions 8 to 425 of the family's 1533-position model. The record is from RNAcentral.